Molecule: ribosomal RNA, 831 nt
Filed under: uncultured marine bacterium
Lineage: Bacteria
Description: bacterial SSU rRNA
Rfam family: Bacterial small subunit ribosomal RNA
Source: RNAcentral
GUCGAACGCAGUAGCAAUACUGAGUGGCAAACGGGUGAGUAUAAUGUGGGAAUCUGCCUUUUGGUUUGGAAUAACACGAGGAAACUUGUGCUAAUACCGAAUAAGCCCUUACGGGGAAAGUUUUAAUGCCGAAAGAUGAGCCCGCACUUGAUCAGCUAGUUGGUAAGGUAAAAGCUUACCAAGGCUACAAUCAAUAGCUGUUCUUAGAGGAAGACCAGCCACAUUGGGACUGAGACACGGCCCAGACUCCUACGGGAGGCAGCAGUGGGGAAUCUUGCACAAUGGGGGAAACCCUGAUGCAGCGAUGCCGCGUGAGUGAAGAAGGCCCUUGGGUUGUAAAACUCUUUCGUCGGGGAAGAAAAUGACUGUACCCGAAUAAGAAGGUCCGGCUAACUUCGUGCCAGCAGCCGCGGUAAUACGAAGGGACCUAGCGUAGUUCGGAAUUACUGGGCUUAAAGAGCUCGUAGGUGGUUAAAAAAGUUGAUGGUGAAAUCCCAAGGCUCAACCUUGGAACUGCCAUCAAAACUUUUUAGCUAGAGUGUGAUAGAGGUAAGUGGAAUUUCUAGUGUAGAGGUGAAAUUCGUAGAUAUUAGAAAGAACACCAAAUGCGAAGGUAACUUACUGGAUCACUACUGACACUGAGGAGCGAAAGCAUGGGUAGCGAAGAGGAUUAGAUACCCUCGUAGUCCAUGCCGUAAACGAUGUGUGCUAGACGUUGGAAAUAUAUUUUUCAGUGUCGCAGCGAAAGCAUUAAGCACACCGCCUGGGGAGUACGACCGCAAGGUUAAAACUCAAAUGAAUUGACGGGGACCCGCACAAGCAGUGGAGCAU